RNAcentral lists this ribosomal RNA (465 nucleotides) under uncultured bacterium. Its description in RNAcentral is "partial 16S ribosomal RNA". It matches the Rfam family "Bacterial small subunit ribosomal RNA", at positions 338 to 795 of the family's 1533-position model. The record is from RNAcentral.
CCUACGGGAGGCUGCAGUAGGGAAUCUUCCACAAUGGGCGAAAGCCUGAUGGAGCAACGCCGCGUGGGUGAGGAAGGUCUUCGGAUCGUAAAACCCUGUUGUUAGAGAAGAAAGUGCGUGGGCGUAACUGUUCACGUGUCGACGGUAUGUAACCGGAAAGGCACGCCUCACUACGUGCCCGCAGCCGCGGUAAUACGUGGGUGGCAAACGUGAUCCGCAUUUAUUGGGCGUAAAGGGAACGCAGGCGGGCUGUUAAGUCUGAUGUGAAAGCCUUCGGCUUAACCGGAGUAGUGCAUUGGAAACUGGGAGACUUGAGUGCAGAAGAGGAGAGUGGAACGCCAUGUGUAGCGGUGAAAUGCGUAGAUAUAUGGCAGAACACCAGUGGCGAAAGCGGCUCUCUGGUCUGUAACUGACGCUGAGGUUCGAAAGCGUGGGUAGCAAACAGGAUUAGAUACCCUGGUAGUC